UACGGAAGGCAGCAGUGGGGAAUAUUGCACAAUGGGCGAAAGCCUGAUGCAGCUAUGCCGCGUGUAUGAAGAAGGCCUUAGGGUUGUAAAGUACUUUCAUCGGGGAGGAAAAACAAAACUAAUAAUUUUAUUUCUUGACGUUACCCGAAAAAGAAGCACCGGCUAACUCCGUGCCAGCAGCCGCGGUAAUACGGGAGGGUGCUAGCGUUAAUCAGAAUUACUGGGCGUAAAGAGCACGUAGGUGGUUUUUUUAAGUCAGAUGUGAAAUCCCUGGGCUUAACCUAGGAACUGCAUUUUGAAACUGAAAUACUAGAGUAUCGUAGAGGGAGGUAGAAUUCUAGGUGUAGCGGUGAAAUGCGUAGAUAUCUGGAGGAAUACCUGUGGCGAAAGCGGCCUCCUAAACGAAUACUGACACUGAGGUGCGAAAGCGUGGGGAGCAAACGAGGAUUAGAUACC
RNAcentral lists this ribosomal RNA (456 nucleotides) under uncultured bacterium. RNAcentral describes it as "bacterial SSU rRNA". It matches the Rfam family "Bacterial small subunit ribosomal RNA", at positions 340 to 786 of the family's 1533-position model. The record is from RNAcentral.